Molecule: ribosomal RNA, 463 nt
Filed under: uncultured Thiobacillus sp.
Lineage: Bacteria; Pseudomonadati; Pseudomonadota; Betaproteobacteria; Nitrosomonadales; Thiobacillaceae
Description: bacterial SSU rRNA
Rfam family: Bacterial small subunit ribosomal RNA
Source: RNAcentral
AGACGGGACCCGCACAAGCGGUGGAUGAUGUGAUUAAUUCGAUGCAACGCGAAAACCUUACCUACCCUUGACAUGUCCGGAAUCCUGCAGAGAUGCGGGAGUGCCGAAAGGGAAUCGGAACACAGGUGCUGCAUGGCUGUCGUCAGCUCGUGUCGUGAGAUGUUGGGUUAAGUCCCGCAACGAGCGCAACCCUUAUCAUUAGUUGCUACGCAAGGGCACUCUAAUGAGACUGCCGGUGACAAACCGGAGGAAGGUGGGGAUGACGUCAAGUCCUCAUGGCCCUUAUGGGUAGGGCUUCACACGUCAUACAAUGGUCGGUACAGAGGGUUGCCAAGCCGCGAGGUGGAGCCAAUCCCAGAAAGCCGAUCGUAGUCCGGAUUGUUCUCUGCAACUCGAGAGCAUGAAGUCGGAAUCGCUAGUAAUCGCGGAUCAGCAUGUCGCGGUGAAUACGUUCCCGGGUCUU